UUGGGUGUCAAUGACUUAAUAGGGAAGCCGGUAGAAGCCGGCGCGGUCCCGCCACUGUAACAGGGAGCGGCUCGCAAGUACGUCACUGGGGGAAACCUUGGGAAGGCGCGAAGCUGCUAUGAACUGGAGCCAGGAGAACUGCCCAAUU
Molecule: non-coding RNA, 148 nt
Filed under: uncultured Selenomonas sp.
Lineage: Bacteria; Bacillati; Bacillota; Negativicutes; Selenomonadales; Selenomonadaceae
Source: RNAcentral